AGGGCCGCUGGAGGUAUCGGAAUUGAGAAUGCUGACAUGAGUAGCGACAAAGAGUGUGAGAAACACUCUCGCCGAAAGCCCAAGGGUUCCUGCGCAAGGCUAAUCCGCGCAGGGUCAGUCGGCCCCUAAGACGAGGGCGACAGCCGUAGUCGAUGGGAAUCAGGUUAAUAUUCCUGAACCUGGUGGACGUGACGACCGUGAGAC
RNAcentral lists this ribosomal RNA (204 nucleotides) under uncultured Pelagophyceae. RNAcentral's name for it is "partial Bacterial large subunit ribosomal RNA". It matches the Rfam family "Bacterial large subunit ribosomal RNA", at positions 1266 to 1473 of the family's 2925-position model. Lineage: Eukaryota; Pelagophyceae. The record is from RNAcentral.